AAUUCUGAAACAUGACGCACUUCAUACGUGCUUUUCAUAACAUAGAAAGGCUGCUUAAUUCCAUUACAAUAGCAAAUGCAAACAGGUAGUCCACUGUUUGCUUAUUGACACCAAAACACAGGAGCUAAGAGUGCAGCUUAUUCAAUUCAUCCGACUAGUUUUUCUUCGCGAACUGAGCCUGAAGCCAGUCGAUGGUCUUCUUGUCCACUUGGAAAGCCUUGGCGAGGAUUUCAUCCGAGAUGGGGGGAUUCGACCCGAACACAGCAUCGGCGAUGGUGAUGGUGCCAGGGUUUUGGCUGCUGAGAGCACCGAUGGCGAAGGUGUUGGUGUGCCCAGGGUUGAACUGGAAGUGGAUGAGGCCUUGGGGGAACACAAACACAUCACCCUUCUUCAGCAUCUUGGUGAAGAGACGGUUGCCGUCGUCGCUGUUGGAUGUGACGAAGCCGACCAAGAGCUGUCCCUCUAUGACGGUGAGGAUCUCGGUGGCACGGGGGUGAGUGUGGGGCGGGUUGAGGCCAUUGGGGAUGUAGUCGAUGCGAACCAUGGAGAUGCCGAGGGUGUUGAGCCCUGGAAUCUGGAUCACGUUGGCAGGCGUGACAUUGAACCCGAAAUUGUUCUUUCCUGUAUCGCCGGGCAUGUCGAGGCCAGAAAGAGAGAAGUCGUCGGCUUUCACAACCAUGGGGUCCUUGCAGACGAAUCCAUUCACCCGCACUGCAACAGCAGAAGGAAGAAGCAAACUCGGUCGGUAAACAUGCAUCAGGAGAACAAACGCACCGAAGGAAAUUAAUCUGGAUACUAUGAAUACCUUUAGACAUCAUAUCUGCGACACAGAAGUCUUGAAGUUGGCUAGGAUCGGAAGCCAUUGCAAGAGAGGAAGCCAUGGCGAGGAGAACAAGGAGAAACAUUUCGGCGGCCAUCUGUAAUCUCUUAGAUGGAUGGGAUUACCUGGUGCCGUGAUACAGUGGCCUGGAAGAGACGGGUAUAUAUAGAGAAGCAGGCUCUGAAACAUUCAUGAUCAUUAGGUGAAGGAGAUGAAAAGUAUACCAUGUUAGGUUGCUUUCUUCUUGCAAUAUAUUUUCUAUAGCCGUCACCUCGUACGAGAUCCAUAUGAUGCACAGUAACCAUUAAAUUUGUUGACGUGUCUCAGUAACCUAAUCCAUGACCAUUUUAUAUGUAUAUAUAUAAUGAUGGAGCUUUUAGUUAGAUCAUGCUGUAGUGUAAAAUGGACUCUUACGUUCGACUGCAUAAUCCACCACGUGAGAUUUUUGUGACGACCUUACGCUACCAAACAAGAGGAGAAGUCAGCAAAGAUGUGGCAGCUGAACAGAACAAGCUAAGGACAGGUAGAAAGAACAAGAAGCCAAAGAUGUGAUUACCAAUUUGACCUUGUCGGGUCUUGUGUACUGCUACGGCUGAUACCGUGUAUUAUAAUUAAGGUGUUCUACGUCAUCUCCGACUAUUUUCAUCACACUGAGACGUCGCGUGCAUGUUGCAAAGAAGUAUGUAAAUACGUAAGUUCUUAAGAGAUUAUAAGUUGAUAUAAUGCUGUCCAAGAAUAGUAAGCAUGUUGAUAGUUGCCUCUACGUUAAACGCUUAUGGGAUCCUAAGUUAUUAAGAGAUCAUAAGAGAUUUUAAAAAUACUAAAUCUUCGUAUAUAGGUAUACAAGAAUAUUGUACGAUUUAGAUAAAAUCAAUUAUAUUCGUGAUAAAAAUCAAUGAGGUUAGGUGAGAUAAAAUAUUUUUUUUAAUUAAAUAUCUAAAGUAAAAUUAACAUAUCAACAUUACAUUGUUCACAUAAAAUUUAUAAUCAUAUUAUCUAUAAUACGAAAAAAAAAUUAUGUCAAAAUUUAAAAUCAAAUAAUAAUGGAUCUAAAUAAUAUUACGAUGCAUACCUUUCGUUGUUAUUUAGAAGAAUAAAUAUUAUCUGAUCUACAGGCGUAUCAUCGUCGGAUCUAAAUGAAAUACUUCUAUUUAGCCCUUAAGAUCAUAUCUAUUUAUAAACAAAAACAAAGAGUCUAAGAUAAGAUAUUAGAAGAAUUCCUCCCAUAAGGAUAUCCUUGGAAUCCUACUAUAAUAUGAAUUUUUUUUUUAUUAAUCAAUAAUCAUAAUCAGAAUUCAAUCAUAUCUAUAAUAUAUUUUACCUAAUUAAAUAUGACCACACAAUCUAACACUCAAUCAUAAAUCCACGAAUCAUAAAUCCAUAAAAAACCAGAAUUUUUGAACUCAUUUCAACCGAGUUCCCAAAAAGUUUAUUAAGUAAAUAAGAUAUUAUUAUGAAUACAAAACAUUUUAAAGUUUUAUAGAUGAUAAUUCUUUUCUAGAAGGUUCUGCCAGCGAGGAUGAAUAAAAAAAAAAGAAAAAUAUCGAUAUAAUAUUUGUAAUUUAUAUAAAUAUAAACAUUUUUCGUCCAUCCAACUCAGCGACCUCUCUGGCAAUCAGAAAGAUUUCAAUAACGAUCAAACAAAGGCUAAUCGAUUAUUUCAGUCAUCAGAUUUUGGUGGCAACGACAUGUUACCAAACACCAUAAAGAAGCUCUCAAAGUCCGACCACGAGACAAGACAAAGUUGCCAGUACGAAUCCGUCUCCGUUCUUCGACCUCGUUCCAUACUGUAUAUUACGAUCGAAGUGAACUGUGUCAUCUUCAACUAUUUCACCAUCACACUGUUUAUAUAUUAUUAUGGUCUAUUUGUGAUCACAACAUAAGAGUUCAAAUUCAUAAUUAUAUUUCAUUUUAGUAAAUGAAUAAAUUGGAGUGAUUGAUACCGCCGGUUAUAGGUGGAUGCAAUCGAGCCAUAUACUACUACUGAACUUUGUAGAUCCCAUGUCAUACAAGUCAAGACAAAAGCACUCCUUUCGGGAAUUCUUGGUGAUGACUUGUUGAAGUUAUGAUCGUGUAUACAAUAUCUCAUGUUUCAGUCAUAAUAUUUGCAUAAAUUGACUUAUUACCGGUAUAUUUUAGUAAAGUUGUCUGCAUAGAUAUAUAAAGUUCAUGAACCUGAGGGAGGAUAAACAUAAGGUGGAUAAAGAAGUAUGCAUAUAUAUAUAUAAUAUGAGAUAUUACACUUUUUGAGGAUGCUGCACUCCAUAUAAUCUAUAAUCUUCCAGGUGGGAAAUACUAUCAUAUGAUCUAAAUAUUGAAAUAUGACUCAUGGAUUUCUUUCUUAAAAAUCAAGUUUUAUUUAUUAUAUUUAAUGACGUGUUUAUAUGAAAUUUGCAACAGUACACCAAUCGUAUGUCAAUAGAGAUGACUCGAGAAUUCUGAAACAUGACACACUUCAUACGUACUUUUCAUAACAUAGAAAGGUCUCUUAAUUCCAUUACAAUAGCAAACGCAAACAGGUAGUCCACUGUUUGCUUAUUCACACCAAAACACACGAGCUAAGAGUGCAGCUUAAUUCAUUCCUCCGACUAGUUUUUCUUCGCGAACUGAGCCUGAAGCCAGUCGACAAGCUUCUUGUCCACUUGGAAAGCCUUGGCGAGGAUUUCAUCCGAGAUGGGGGGAUUCGCCCCGAACACAGCAUCGGCGAUUGUGAUGGUGCCGGGGUUUUGGCUACUGAGAGCACCGAUGGCGAAGGUGUUGGUGUACCCAGGGUUGAACUGGAAGUGGAUGAGGCCUUGAGGGAACACAAACACAUCACCCUUCUUCAGCAUCUUGGUGAAGAGGCGGUUGUCGGUGUUGGAUGUGACGAAGCCGACUAAGAGCUGUCCCUCUAUGACGGUGAGGAUCUCGGUGGCACGGGGGUGAGUGUGGGGCGGGUUGAGGCCUUUGGGGAUGUAGUCGAUGCGAACCAUGGAGAUGCCGAGGGUGUUGAGUCCUGGAAUCUGCAUCACGUUGGCAGGCGUGACAUUGAACCCGAACUUGUUUCCGGUAUCGCCAGGCAUGUCGAGGCCAGAAAGAGAGAAGUCGUCGGCUUUCACAACCAUGGGGUCCUUGCAGACGAACCCAUUCACCCGCACUGCAACAGCAGAAGGAAGAAGCAAACUCGGUCGGUAAACAUGCAUCAGGAGAACAAACGCACCGAAGGAAAUUAAUCUGGAUACUAUGAAUACCUUUAGAGUCCUUAUCUGCGACACAGAAGUCUUGAAGUUGACUAGGAUCAGAAGCCAUUGCCAGAGAGGAAGCCAUGGCGAGGAGAACAAGGAGAAACAUCUCGGUGGCCAUCUGUAAUCUCUUAGAUGGAUGGGAUUACUUGGGGCCUUGAUACAAUGGCCUGGAAGAGACGGGUAUAUAUAGAGAAGCAGGCUCUGAAACAUUCACGAUCAUUAGGUGAAGGAGAUGAAAAGUAUACCAUGUUAGGUUGCCUUCCUCUCGCGAUAAUAUUGUCUAUAGCCGUCUCCUCGUACGAGCUUCAUCUGAUGCAGGGUAACAAAUAGGUUUUUUGACGCUGUCUCAGUGAUUGCUUGAAUGCAUGCGUUCGCCGACAAAGAAAAAUAGUUCUUUAGUUUAAUGCAUCCAACCUAAUCCAUGACCACAUCGUAUACACAAUAAUGGAGCUUUUCAACCUAAUCCGAAAUCCACCGGGUGAGAUUUUGGUGACGACGUCAAGAUACCAAGCACGAUGAGAAGUUUGCAAACAUGUGGGAGAUCAGGUGAACAAGAGCAAGGUUGUGUCAAAAGAACAAGACAAUAGUGUGUCGUUGCCAAUUUGACUUCGUCUGAUGCCGUGUAUUAUGAUUCAAGGUAUUCUUUGUCAGUACAAAGUAUGUAUGUAUGUAUAGCAUGCACAUCAGUGGUGACACCUUCCUUCCUUAUUGCGAUACCCAAUAUGACUGACUUCAUAUAAUGUUAAUCUUAGUACUUGAGAGAUGAAAAGAAGGGAAAAGAAUAGAAGAGAAUAAUAUCAUAUUCAUAAAAAUUGAGAGAAUGGAAUUACAUAUAUUGGAUUUAGCACACAUCCCAACAAGAUUAACUUUUUGGGUUAAUUAGGUUACCGAUCUAUAUAAUUUUUACCCUGGCUAAGUUAAUUUAUCAUGAUCGAUUUCGACAAAUGAGUCAAAAAGAUUAAAGGAUACAGAUAUUAGUGGUAUUUUUUCACCUAAAUUAUUAGACCAACUUGAUUUAACUUGGAAAAAGACAAAAAAAAAAAGAUUUUGGAAACUGUUAUACUGCCUAAUUUUGAGUCAGUUCAAUCCUCUUGAAUCAGUUUCAAUUCUCUUGAUUGAAUUAUAGGUCAACUCUUUCUCUCUCUCUCUCUCUCAUUUGGGAAAGUGAGAUCAUUUGUAAUCAAGCAAAAUUUCUUGCUCUGAAUAAAUAAAAAAAACUAUAUAUAUCAAUAAAUCUAUACUAUUUUUUUAGUUUUUCAAUUGAACUAAAAUUCACUGUGUGAUUUUGUUAAACCAAAAAUACAUCUCUUAUGAUAGAAAUAGCAUUUGCUUCAUGUAAGGUCUUGAUUUCGUUAUUCUUCAAUUGAUGUGGGAUUUAUAUUUUGUAUCUUGUCUUAAAAUUCAUAUACUUGAUCUAAAAUUUAUGAUUUUAUUAUUAUCAUUAAUUUUCUUUAUCGAAAGAUUAGAGUACACGUUAAACUGCCUAACACGAAAUCAUAUGAUUUUGUGCAUUCAAAGUGGACCCAAAAGACAUCUCAGGAUAGAAAUAACAAUUGUUUGGAACGAAGCAAGAGACAUAUUCUAUCGCAAAAACAAUUGCAAAUAGUUAUCCACUGUUUGCUUAUUUAAAGCACAUAAUUUCAGCACGUCAUGUCAACUUGCAACAACGAAGCUUUCUAGUUGUUGUUGUCCAUCCAGAACUGAGCCUGAAGCCAGUCGAUGGUCUUCUUGUCCACCUGGAAAGCCUUGGCCAGAACAUCGUCAGAGAUGGGUGGCUUCGACCCGAACACAGCGUUAGCGAUGGUGAUCGUGCCGGGGUUUUGGCUACUAAGAGCACCGAUUGCGAUAGUGUUGCAGUUGCCGGGAUUGAACUGGAAGUGGAUGAGGCCCUCAGGGAACACAAACACAUCGCCCUUCUUCAGCAUCUUGGUGAAGAGACGGUUGUCGGUGUUGGAUGUGACGAAGCCGACCAAGAGCUGUCCUUCUAUGACGGUGAGGAUCUCGGUGGCACGGGGGUGAGUGUGGGGAGGGUUGAGGCCUUUGGGCCCGUAGUCGAUGCGAACCAUGGAGAUGCCGAGGGUGUUGAGUCCGAUGAGCUUGUUCACGUUGACGGCAGUGACCAUGGAGCCGAGCUUGUUUACCGUGUUGCCGGCUUUGUCGAGUCCCAUGAAGAAGAAGUCUUCGGCUGUCACGUGCUUGGGGUCUUUGCAGACGAAUCCAUUCACCAGCACUGCAGCAGCAACAAGAAAACUCGAUCAGUAAACAUGCAUUAAUCGAAAUCGUGGACCUGCAGGUACGGUGUUCGAUCCUUAAACUCGCCUUUAGAGUCCUUAUCGGCGACGCAGAAGUCUUGAAGAGGGCUAGGAUCAGAAGCCAUUGCGAGAGAGGAAGCCAUGGCAAGGAGAGCGAUGAGGAGGAUUUUGGCUGCCAUCCCUGUAAUCUUCAGGACGGAUGAAGCUACAAUUGGUGUUGUGAUACAAAUGCACGAAGGAGAUGGAUAUAUAGAGAGGGGGAGGGGGAGAGAGGCAGGGUUGAAACAUUCUUGAUCAUUUGGUAAGAGAGCUGAAUAGUAUGCCUUUUGCUUAUAAUAAUAAUAAUGUCUAUGGACUGUGCGUGCUUCUUAUCUUGUGCAGAGAAAGAGUCUACCAAGAGGAGCUUAGUUAUUCUCCACUUGGUUUUGGUCAACGACUAUAUCUUGUAUGUAGUAAAUGCCAUUCAAUCGACAGCGUUUUGAUGAUGGCAGGUCGCUACCAAAUGCCAAGCAAAUUCAUGGAACCAGUGGAGCAUAUGGAUCCACCAGAAGUGCUAGUGAACCAAUGAUCUCAGUUUGACUUCAUCUAACAUCAAGUACUAAUAAUGGAAGGCGUUUUCUGUCACCUUCGAACAUGACCAGGACAAUGCGUGCAGCGACUUCAUCUAACAUCGAAUUCUAUAGUGCAAGCGUUCCGUGUGCGUUGACUGGCAUUAUAUAGAUCGCGUAUACGAGUACUGACACCUUCGCUCUUCGUCGCAACAUCACAUUGGAAAUCGUGUUCAUCGUUAUGUGAUACGUGAUGCGGUGGGUAAAAGAAGGCACACAUGAACUGAAACCUUCGUUCGACAUGUUCUUACAAUCGAGAAUGAGUCUGACUCGAUUUUGUUGAUUAGCAUACACUAAAAUUAAUAUAAAUUCAGCAUACACAAACUCAAUAUAUGUAAUUAGGCUCACUUAGUUAUUAUCUAUGGGACUAAUCUAACAACCUUCUCUUCAUAUAUAUUAGAAUCGAUGCUAAUUUAACUUGUAAGUUUAAGUGUGUAGAUUAUGGGUCAAACCCAAUAUAUAUAACCCAACUUUUUAAUUUUUGUUAGGCUCAUCUUCCUCAUCUUUUCAAUCUUCAUUUCACAUUUCAACAUUUCAUAAUAUUUCAAUAUAUUUUAAAUAACUUUAAUUGAGUUUAUAAUGAGCUCAAUAAAAUAGUAAAUCCUAAUUAUUCAGAGUCAUCCGAGUUUAACACUAACAAAUAGAUUUGCUGCAAUGUGGCUUAGCAAUUAAUAAUGAUCUCAUCAGUGAUCUCGCUCUCAAUUGUUGACUCUUAACAUGAUAUUUAUUUUUAGUCGGAAAACAUGAGGAUUAUUCCGAUCACUACAGAGAAAACAAACUGUAAUAACAUGCAAACGGCUGACUUCGAUCGAUCGCCAAGUGUUUGCUUAUUGGAAUGUUAACAUGGAUGUGAAGAAGCUGCAGUGGUGGUGUUUCUUCUGUUGUUGUUGUCCAUCUAGAACUGAGCCUGAAGCCAGUCGAUGGUCUUCUUGUCCACCUGGAAAGCCUUGGCCAGAACAUCAUCGGAGAUGGGCGGCUUCGACCCGAACACAGCGUUGGCGAUUGUGAUGGUGCCGGGGUUUUGGCUACUGAGAGCACCGAUGGCGAUAGUUUUGGUGUGCCCAGGGUUGAACUGGAAGUGGAUGAGGCCUUGUGGGAACACAAACACAUCACCCUUCUUCAGCAUCUUGGUGAAGAGACGGUUGCCGUCGUCGGUGUUGGAUGUGACGAAGCCGACCAAGAGCUGUCCUUCUAUGACGGUGAGGAUCUCGGUGGCACGAGGGUGAGUGUGGGGAGCGUUGAGGCCUCUGGGUGCGUAGUCGAUGCGAACCAUGGAGAUGCCGAG
Molecule: long non-coding RNA, 8189 nt
Filed under: Musa acuminata (dwarf banana)
Lineage: Eukaryota; Viridiplantae; Streptophyta; Magnoliopsida; Zingiberales; Musaceae
Description: long non-coding RNA (MACU_LNC002928)
Source: RNAcentral